Molecule: long non-coding RNA, 137 nt
Organism: Gopherus evgoodei (Goodes thornscrub tortoise)
Lineage: Eukaryota; Metazoa; Chordata; Testudines; Testudinidae
Exons: 3
Source: RefSeq, a predicted model, not a curated record
AGGUUGGGCGGCUGUCUGUAAGCGAGGACUGGUCUGUCUCCCAAGAUCUGUGAGAGUGAGGGAUCAUCUUUCAGGAAAGAUUGUAGAUCUUUGAUAAUGCACUGAAGAGGUAAAACAGUUUUAGUUGGGGGCUGAAG